ACUCCUACGGGAGGCAGCAGUGGGGAAUAUUGCACAAUGGGCGCAAGCCUGAUGCAGCCAUGCCGCGUGUAUGAAGAAGGCCUUCGGGUUGUAAAGUACUUUCAGCAGUGAGGAAGGUGGGUAUGUUAAUAGCAUAUUCAUUUGACGUUAGCUGCAGAAGAAGCACCGGCUAACUCCGUGCCAGCAGCCGCGGUAAUACGGAGGGUGCGAGCGUUAAUCGGAAUUACUGGGCGUAAAGCGCAUGCAGGUGGUUUGUUAAGUCAGAUGUGAAAGCCCGGGGCUCAACCUCGGAAUUGCAUUUGAAACUGGCAAACUAGAGUACUGUAGAGGGGGGUAGAAUUUCAGGUGUAGCGGUGAAAUGCGUAGAGAUCUGAAGGAAUACCGGUGGCGAAGGCGGCCCCCUGGACAGAUACUGACACUCAGAUGCGAAAGCGUGGGGAGCAAACAGGAUUAGAUACCCUGGUAGGACAGC
RNAcentral lists this ribosomal RNA (472 nucleotides) under uncultured bacterium. Its description in RNAcentral is "bacterial SSU rRNA". It matches the Rfam family "Bacterial small subunit ribosomal RNA", at positions 335 to 800 of the family's 1533-position model. The record is from RNAcentral.